GUCAUUUCUUAAUAUUUUUUAUGCAAAAAAACCUUCCAUUACAGUAUAGUCUCGCUAUACGGUCGUGUAAAUAUGAAGAAACUUCUAAAAUUGUCACAACUAUUAUAAUUAGAAAAAAAGGAUAACCACCAUAUCCAAAUCACUAAUAUUAAAAUUUUAAAUUUUUUAGCUGUAAACAUUUGUUGUUCAUCAAUCACACAGAAGUAACUGUCAGAUGUCAUGAAAAAUACUAAACUCACCAGCAUCUCUUUCUGCAAGAACU
Molecule: unclassified non-coding RNA, 262 nt
Filed under: Hevea brasiliensis (rubber tree)
Lineage: Eukaryota; Viridiplantae; Streptophyta; Magnoliopsida; Malpighiales; Euphorbiaceae
Source: RNAcentral